UCCCCGGUGGCUCAGAUGGUAAAGAAUCUGCCUGCAACACGGGAGACCCAGGUUCGAUUCCUGGGUGGGGAA
Molecule: transfer RNA, 72 nt
Filed under: Ovis aries (sheep)
Lineage: Eukaryota; Metazoa; Chordata; Mammalia; Artiodactyla; Bovidae
Rfam family: tRNA
About the family: Transfer RNA (tRNA) molecules are approximately 80 nucleotides in length. Their secondary structure includes four short double-helical elements and three loops (D, anti-codon, and T loops).
Source: Rfam by way of RNAcentral